CACGUAGGGCGCAAGCGUUGUCCGGAAUUAUUGGGCGUAAAGAGCUCGUAGGCGGUCUGUUGCGUCCGCUGUGAAAACUCGGGGCUUAACCCCGAGCCUGCAGUGGAUACGGGCAGACUAGAGGUAGGUAGGGGAGAAUGGAAUUCCCGGUGUAGCGGUGAAAUGCGCAGAUAUCGGGAGGAACACCGGUGGCGAAGGCGCUCUGCUAGGCCGCAACUGACACUGAGGGACGAAAGCUAGGGGAGCGAAUGGG
RNAcentral lists this ribosomal RNA (253 nucleotides) under uncultured bacterium. RNAcentral's name for it is "partial 16S ribosomal RNA". It matches the Rfam family "Bacterial small subunit ribosomal RNA", at positions 524 to 776 of the family's 1533-position model. The record is from RNAcentral.